AUACGGGAGGGGGCUAGCGUUGUUCGGAAUCACUGGGCGUAAAGCGUGCGUAGGCGGUGACUCAAGUCAGAGGUGAAAGCCUGGAGCUCAACUCCAGAACUGCCUUUGAAACUAGGUCGCUAGAAUGUCGGAGAGGUGAGUGGAAUUCCGAGUGUAGAGGUGAAAUUCGUAGAUAUUCGGAAGAACACCAGUGGCGAAGGCGGCUCACUGGACGACUAUUGACGCUGAGGCACGAAAGCGUGGGGAGC
RNAcentral lists this ribosomal RNA (248 nucleotides) under uncultured bacterium. RNAcentral describes it as "partial 16S ribosomal RNA". It matches the Rfam family "Bacterial small subunit ribosomal RNA", at positions 523 to 769 of the family's 1533-position model. The record is from RNAcentral.